This 497-nucleotide ribosomal RNA is filed under the name uncultured bacterium. RNAcentral's name for it is "partial 16S ribosomal RNA". It matches the Rfam family "Bacterial small subunit ribosomal RNA", at positions 28 to 507 of the family's 1533-position model. The record is from RNAcentral.
GAUGAACGCUGGCGGCGUGCCUAAUACAUGCAAGUCGAGCGAACAGACGAGGAGCUUGCUCCUCUGACGUUAGCGGCGGACGGGUGAGUAACACGUGGAUAACCUACCUAUAAGACUGGGAUAACUUCGGGAAACCGGAGCUAAUACCGGAUAAUAUAUUGAACCGCAUGGUUCAAUAGUGAAAGACGGUUUUGCUGUCACUUAUAGAUGGAUCCGCGCCGCAUUAGCUAGUUGGUGAGGUGACGGCUUACCAAGGCAACGAUGCGUAGCCGACCUGAGAGGGUGAUCGGCCACACUGGAACUGAGACACGGUCCAGACUCCUACGGGAGGCAGCAGUAGGGAAUCUUCCGCAAUGGGCGAAAGCUUGACGGAGCAACGCCGCGUGAGUGAUGAAGGUCUUCGGAUCGUAAAACUCUGUUAUUAGGGAAGAACAAAUGUGUAAGUAACUAUGCACGUCUUGACGGUACCUAAUCAGAAAGCCACGGCUAACUACGUG